This 494-nucleotide ribosomal RNA is filed under the name uncultured bacterium. RNAcentral's name for it is "partial 16S ribosomal RNA". It matches the Rfam family "Bacterial small subunit ribosomal RNA", at positions 29 to 507 of the family's 1533-position model. The record is from RNAcentral.
ACGAACGCUGGCGGCGUGCCUAAUACCUGCAAGUAGAACGCUGAAGGAGGAGCUUGCUUCUCUGGAUGAGUUGCGAACGGGUGAGUAACGCGUAGGUAACCUGCCUGGUAGCGGGGGAUAACUAUUGGAAACGAUAGCUAAUACCGCAUAAGAGUAGAUGUUGCAUGACAUUUGCUUAAAAGGUGCAAUUGCAUCACUACCAGAUGGACCUGCGUUGUAUUAGCUAGUUGGUGGGGUAACGGCUCACCAAGGCGACGAUACAUAGCCGACCUGAGAGGGUGAUCGGCCACACUGGGACUGAGACACGGCCCAGACUCCUACGGGAGGCAGCAGUAGGGAAUCUUCGGCAAUGGACGGAAGUCUGACCGAGCAACGCCGCGUGAGUGAAGAAGGUUUUCGGAUCGUAAAGCUCUGUUGUAAGAGAAGAACGAGUGUGAGAGUGGAAAGUUCACACUGUGACGGUAUCUUACCAGAAAGGGACGGCUAACUACGUG